CCUCAAGCAGCCUGCCACCCUGCCAUCUUCAGAAUUGUAGAUGAAAUGUUCAGGUUUGUGCUGCUGGAGACUGACGGAGCCCCAGAAGUGAUAGCUGCUCUUCAGGUAUUCACCUGGUGCAUGGCAGAAGCUCUGGGAAAAGAGAACAAGCAGAUGAAGUUUUCCCUCAAGACCUACUUCCCUUACGGUGCUCCAGCUCUCACUGCAGUGCUGUCCCAGCACCCUGAAGCUAUCCCACAGAGACACCAGCUCCAGCCUCUGCUGCACAUUUCCCAACUCCUCAGAGAAGCAGUUGAAGACCCUACUCAUGGGUCCCAGCAAACUCCCUUCGAGAGCUGGUUUUUGUUCAUUCACUUUGGAGGAUGGGUUGAUCUGGCCGUGCAGCAGUUGCUGAGGACAGAAGCUGAGCCCCCUGAAGGCCUGCUGUGGCUCUUGGCAUUCUAUUACAGCCCACAGGAUGGGAGUCAGCAGAGAGUGCAGACCAUGGUGGAGCUGAAGGCAUUGCUUAGCCAUCUGCUGAUGCUGCUCCGAGGUGAGCGUCUGUCAGCUGUCGAUGUGCAGAAAGCAGCCCCCAGAGCACCCAUAUGCGGGCAGCUGGUCAGGCGCCUUCUUCUUAGCCUCUUGCUCUGGACCCCGGAAGGCCAUCCGAUUGCCAGGGAAGCUGUCACCCAUGGCCCACAACAAAGGAGGGUGAAGGAAUUGGACAUCUUCCUUCUCCAAGGAAGAUGUGUGGCUGCUCAGAGGCACCCGGGAGACGCAUGCCCGUGGCACGGCUGUCACCAUACACACCUCAGAGGCACCCGGGAGAUGCAUGCCCAUGGCACUGCAGUUACCACACUUCAGAGGCACCGGGAAGAUACAUGCCCAUGGCAUGGCUGUCACCACACACUCCUAGACAGCUGGUUACUGCAGAACAUGUGAGGCAGUCCUGAGAAUCAGAGUGGCAUUUUCAGGUGUUUCCAGUAGGGAAUGCCACUGCUCAAAAGAAAGUCUAACUGUGGGGCAUGGUGGCCCUGCCCCCAGGUCUUUCCCCAAAGAACUGAUAGUAGAGGCUUAAACAGGUAUCCGUGUAACAGAAUUUUCAGCUGUUGACAGCAGCAAGAAGGAAUGCGUGACUGGAUAAACAUAGGUGCCUGUGCAGACAUACCAUGGAGUAAGUACCCUUUGGCCAUGGGAAGGAAGGCAUUUCUGCCACCUGUGACACUGAUGGACCCCGAAGGCUUUGUGCUAUGUGAAAUCAGCCAGUUGGAAGGAAACUCUUAGAGGAGUCCACCUAUCUGAGUCUGCUUCACAGGUAUGAGGAGUUGGUGUUUAACCUGUGCAGACUGUCUGGAGAUGGGUGGUGAUGGUCGUACAACAUUGUGAAUGCAGGAGUGCAGGCCUGGAAUCCCAGCAUGUGAGAGGCAGAAGCCGGAGGAUCAGGAGUACAGGGUCAUCCUCAGCCACACAGUGAGCUGGAGGCCAGCCUGAGCUACACGAGAUACUGUCUCAAAAGAAACCAAAAAGGUGAAACACAUUGCUGACUACAGGAGUUUUAUUUUCAGGUUUUUUUUUGAAUUAUUAACAUAUUGUGACAUACACAGCUUGAUGAAGUUUUAUACACAAAAUAAAAAAAAAGAACUCAUGCAGCCAGCAACCCAAUCAAGAAAGGGCUUUUCCUUGUCCACUUGGGUCUCAGUCUGAAUGUGAACACUAGAAGAGUCCAGGAGGUAGCUGCCUCCCUGCCAAAGCCCUCUGCCCAUCUGACAGCAGCCACCUGUGUCAGUGCAGAGGCUAACCCUCUCCUGCCCUGGGGCACCUCAAGGCCCAGCACAAUAAUUCACUCAGAAAUCUACGGAGUAUGAUCCUAAAACACAUGCCUCAAGAGCAUGCAAAGCAGAAUGUGGCGCUGAGGAACAGAGGCUGUCACCAAGCUGGAUGCUGCCUCAUCACACUUCACCUAGCAUGUUCCGCAUGCGGCAUCUUGGACAAAAGGUCCAGUAUCGCAGCCACAAGUAGAUCUUGACUCCGUGAUUCCACUUGAAAGUUUCCCAGCUACACCUGAAGUGUUCUGCAUAGAGUUCAAGGCAAUGCUGUGUUAAUCAGAUUGACUGGGAAUCACUUCACAGUGUGGACAGCAGAAUUAUCACCAGGAAACAAACGGCAGCACGUAGUCCACUUGAGACAGGAGAACUCCAUAUGGCCUGCAGUCACCAGCCAACUUCCCUGGCAGGCCUGUUGCAGUAGCUCCGUCAGCUUCCGGGGGCGGGAAGACAGGCUAGCAUGUACACCUCAUGUCACGUGGUGAGAGGGACUCUUUGUGUGGUCUCUUGGAUUUCUUCUCUUAUUGAUAUGAUAAAACACCCAGAGGAAAGCAACUGGGGAGGCUCUUUACUCUGGCUCACAGUCCAUCAUGAUGGGGACGUCACAGCAGCAGGAGCUUGAGGUGGCAGGUCACACUGCAUCCUUAUGCAAAAGCAGAACUCCACCAAUGUCUAUACUCGCCUAAGUUAACCGCUUUAUUCAGUCUAGGACCCCAGCUCGUGCAAUGGCACCACUCAGGUUUACAAUGGGCCUUUCCCACUUGAUUAAACUUAAUGUAUACAACUGGUCACUGGCGGCUUAAAUCCCACUUACCAUCAGCUGCCACACACAAAACAGCAAAACGAUAGUCCAGGUCUCAUCAGAGGAAAAACAUGAGACACAACCCAGGUUAGGGACAUUGCACAGAACUUCUGGUCCUCUUCAAGGUAGUCGGAAGGAGACUCUGAGGAACCUUCACAAUCAAGAGUGAGAGGAGCAGGAUGGUGGACUGUGCUGUGCCCUGGAUGAGAUUCUGGAGAGCGCAGGACAGAGAAGACUUGGAAGUCAGAAUGAAGUGUGGGCCUCACUGAGUGACAGGGACACAGCAUGGACAGAUGGCUGGGACUUUUCCAACUGUGCUACCUCUGUAGUGACGCCAACUCUGCUGCUGUUGACAGUAGGGGCUUCUGAACUAUGGAAGUGUGAGUCUGACCUCUUUGUAAAUGCUCACUACAUCUGUGGACAGAGUCAGCCUGCUGCUGGGACAUGUCUUCCAGGGCCACAUGGUCCCCGCUCUUUCUCAGUUGUCACCCUCACCUACUACAGUGGCUUAGGUCCUGCCUAAGAUGUGAGGAAAGGACCCCAGCAAAACCUCCUGAAGACAGCAGCUCUCCAUAUUCAAGACAGGUCGCAUUGCUCACUCAUGCCAAGACUUCUGAGAGGGGAAGUCCUGCACUGUACAGCACACACCCACUAAUGGGGCCUGUCCCAGCCACUCACUAACUGUGCUAAUCUACACCUGGCAUUGCAGCAUCACAGAAACCCAGAUGGCCCACACGGAUGCUGUAACCCAUGAGAUUGUUGGCUUUCUUGACCAGACUUUGUACAGAUUGGAUCAUCUUUGUGUCGAAGCCUCAAGAAAACUGGCGAGAGAGCUCCUUCAGGAGCUUGGAGCUC
Cricetulus griseus (Chinese hamster) is the source of this 3459-nucleotide non-coding RNA. Lineage: Eukaryota; Metazoa; Chordata; Mammalia; Rodentia; Cricetidae. The record is from RefSeq and is a predicted model, not a curated record.